Molecule: long non-coding RNA, 1789 nt
Organism: Priapulus caudatus
Lineage: Eukaryota; Metazoa; Priapulida; Priapulimorpha; Priapulimorphida; Priapulidae
Exons: 2
Source: RefSeq, a predicted model, not a curated record
UAUAUGAAAUGCAUACAUACUUUUCUAACUAAUCAAUCAAUCUAUCUAUACAUCCAUAUCCCUUAUCCAUAUUCGUCUAUCAAUCCAUCCAUCCAUCCAUUCAUCCAUUCAUCCAUCAUCCAUUGUCUCUCGGCCCCUGUCUCCCGCGCAGCUGCAAGAUAUCAACGACCCCCCAUCGUGGCACGCCGACCCCAUCUUCACUCAAAUGAAGGCACGCCAUGCAUGAAAUGGCUGCGAUUUCAAACCGUCACCGCGCACUUUUGCAUCGCAAACUAUUCCCGUCUACAUUCAUCGAUAAUGAGCUUUGUUCCCUGCGUUUAUAUCGCUAAAUCGCCCAAUCUGCAUUAUAUUGCGUACGCGACUUUUUCGCGUCUGUUUUGUUUGUUCGUACGUUGAUCGCUGUCGGGCGCCUUCUAUUAUGAAUACGAACGCCAGCGUCAUCGCUGUGAUCACCGACUCACGAUCAAUGCACCAUAUUGACACGACGACCGGACCUAAAGGACAGACAAUUCGUGACAACGAGACGUUUGUUUGGAGCCGAUCAAACCGGAAUCGAUCGCUCGCCGCAGAGACGCUCGUUGUAUUGUUAUCAAUGACGUCAAUCUAAUCAGGUUUUGGUCACCGCGCCGGCUACUUAAGAGUAGAGUGAACACGCAUGUUUAGUUUGCAGUUGACCACGAGCAAAAAAAUCUCUGGUCAGAUACGCAGCCGUCAUCUCAAGCAAGAAAUCUCCAGCAAGAUGCAGGUCGUCAUAGUAACGGCGCUGAUCCUCAGCUUGGUAUUGCAAGUUACCUACGGUAAUGACUAUGGGACCAGAACAAGGAGACCACACCGUUACUAUGGUUACAACCAUAGAACAACAACAACAACGGAGAGACCGCGACAUUACUAUGGCUACCACCACGGAACAACAACAACAACGGAGAGGCCGCGACAUUACUAUGGCUACCAGCACGGAACAACAACAACAACGGAGAGGCCGCGACAUUACUAUGGCUACCAGCACGGAACAACAACAACGGAUAGACCGCGACAUUACUAUGGUUACCACCACGGAACAACAACAACGGAUAGACCGCGACAUUACUAUAGCUCUCAUAAUCGACGAAGUUAUCCAGAUUAUAGAUACAGGGGUUACCAAAACGUAUAUAAUCGCAAAUCGUCACGCCGCUAUUAGAGUUAGCGACAUGACACUAAUAGAUCACCGCUCUACUAACGUCACAUCGUAACACGACCACACAGACACAAAUUACAGUGACGGAAGAGCAUUACCGUGCUCUCAGACUAAUCUAUCUGGAUGCGAAACAUCUGAAUAUCCAACAUUGAACCGACGCACGAUUCUUUUUCUUACUUUUGUUUCGUGGUGCCCUUAUUGUCAUCAAAUGUGACGUACAGCAGACUGUAUACAUUUGUGCACCGAUUUGGCUGCACGCGCAUCGUUAUGGUCUAGUUGCUUUUCUCGCAAUUUUCGACCACAUUAACGGAUACGCUAUUUUCGUGUAUGUACGUAGUUGAUAUGCUUACAUUUGAUGCAAAUAUGUUACCGACCUAAGUCAUACUUAUGUGAGUUCCUAUAACUAACAAAAAAUAAUAUUUUCGUAUCAUCGCACUCAAAUGUCUUUUCACGUCGAAAAAUAUUUUAUGUCCUUGUUCCGCAUAAGAAAAUGCUGUUAUUAUUGUUCUUUAUGCAGCUAACCAUGUUCAUGCUUUCUUCGAGAAAAUACCAGUAAUAUGUACAUGUACGCAAGUAGACCUUAUAUGUAAAAUAAAAAACAAAUUCUUCACCAUA